RNAcentral lists this ribosomal RNA (445 nucleotides) under Koinostylochus takeshitai. Its description in RNAcentral is "partial 16S ribosomal RNA". It matches the Rfam family "Bacterial large subunit ribosomal RNA", at positions 1830 to 2597 of the family's 2925-position model. Lineage: Eukaryota; Metazoa; Platyhelminthes; Polycladida; Callioplanidae. The record is from RNAcentral.
UUCCUUUAGAAUAUACUUAAAGGUAUUGCCUGCCCAAUGUUAAAUUAUUAAUGGCUGCGGUAUCUUAACUGCACUAAGGUAGCAUAAUUAAUUGUCUUUUAAAUGGUGACCUGUUUGAAUGGCCUAAUGAGAAAAAGAUUUUCUUUUUAUUAAAAUAAAAUUAUAUUUCAAGGUUAAAAUACCUGAUUCUAAAAGAAAGACGAGAAGACCCUGUUGAGUUUUACAGUUUUAAAUUGUUUAAAUGGGAAAUUUAGCUUUUAAUUAAAGUUUCUUUUUAGAUCCUAUAUUGUAUAUACGGAAAAAGGAUAAAGUUACCACAGGGAUAACAGGAUAAUAUUUACUAAGAGUUCUAAUUAAAGUAAAUGAUUAUUACCUCGAUGUUGAAUCGAAAUAUCUUAAUGAUGCAGAAGUUAUUAUAGUAGGUCUGUUCGACCUUUAAUAUUUC